AUAUUUAAAUAAGAAUUUAUGAAUUUUGGAAAUAAAUAUAUAAUUAACGUGCAUUUAUUUAUUACAUUUUAAUAUUUUCAACGAUUUACGAAAUCGAAAAUGAUUUUAGAAUUUUAAGUUGAAAAGAAUUUGAAUUACGAAAAUUGAUUGAAUUUAGAAAACGAUCCUAUUCAAUUUUGGACUCGAAUCAUAAAAGCUAAAUCCUACUCCUAGCCCAAUUGGGGAAAGCCCAAACCAAUAAAACCCAAACCAAUACUCCCUUCCCUUUUCUAAUUCACGUGAGACCAAAGGAAACAACAAAAAAAAAAAAAAAGAAAAAAAAAAAACCCUCUCCCUCCUUCAACCUCACGUACAACACCAAACACUCAUCCCUCUCAGCCGUUCUCUCUCCUCCCUUCACGUCCGCCGCUUCUGCCAAGCCGUCGGACCGCCGUUGCUUCACCACCGUCGACGUGCUCCUCUCCCCUUUGCCGCCAGCCGCCGCGUGCGCAGCCGCGACCCCCAGGCCAACCACCACCUGCAUCUUCGUCGCAGCCCUGCCCAGCCGACACCCUCUUCGAUCUCUCUCCUCCUUCGCGUAGAAACCAUCUCCUCCCCUGCUUGUUUCUUGCGCAAGCCAGCCGGCCGCCGCCAUAACAUUGUCGUUGCCGUGCCGCCGCGCCACAGCACCACCUCCGGCCAACCACUCUCCCUUCCCUCUCUCUUUUGGCGGAGAAUUCUCUGUAGGCGACUUUUGAAUUAUUAAAGUGGUCUUGCAGUUUGUUUACACAAGUCUCUAAGGAUCAAUAAGCAUUGUCCAUCUGCAGGUUUGAAGAUGUUGCAUCAUUGGGAUCGGGAAUAGAGAGCUUGUAUUUAGUUUUGAUUUGCUAAGUUAACUUGGGUUUGUUAAUUGGGACUUUAAACUUGUCGUACUAUUUAUAUUUCCUUAUUUUCGUUGGUUGAUUUUUGGGGACUAAAUCUGUAAUCGAUUAUUUAUAAACCUAAAGCUAGUUUUAUGUUUUCCGCUGCAAAAUUCUGAAUAAGCCGUUACGUUUUCACACGGGCGAUAAUGCCUUGAUAAUUCUCUACGUUUUAUAUUAAAAGAUUAUUUUAGAAAAGAGAGAAUUGUCGGGGUGUUACAAAGUGGUAUCUAGAAGCUAAGGUUUUACUUUAAUAAAUUUUUAGGCGCCUAACUAUCUAGUUAUUUAAAAUAAAUUUCUUAAAAAUCGAGAUUCUACGUAUUAUAGACUUAUAGUGUUCAAAAAUUGGUACU
Long non-coding RNA from Spinacia oleracea (spinach), 1252 nucleotides. RefSeq lists it as uncharacterized. NCBI's taxonomy places the organism in Eukaryota, Viridiplantae, Streptophyta, Magnoliopsida, Caryophyllales, Amaranthaceae. The record is from RefSeq and is a predicted model, not a curated record. The transcript is spliced from 4 exons.